UACGGAGGAUCCGAGCGUUAUCCGGAUUUAUUGGGUUUAAAGGGUGCGCAGGCGGGAGAUUAAGUCGGCGGUGAAAUUUUGCAGCUUAACUGUAAAAGUGCCUUCGAAACUGGUUUCCUUGAGUGUAGAUGAAGUAGGCGGAAUUUGUGGUGUAGCGGUGAAAUGCAUAGAUAUCACGAGGAACUCCAAUUGCGCAGGCAGCUUACUAAACUACUACUGACGCUCAGGCACGAAGGCGUGGGGAUCAAACAGGAUUAGAUACCCGCGUAGUCCCU
RNAcentral lists this ribosomal RNA (275 nucleotides) under uncultured prokaryote. RNAcentral describes it as "partial 16S ribosomal RNA". It matches the Rfam family "Bacterial small subunit ribosomal RNA", at positions 524 to 798 of the family's 1533-position model. The record is from RNAcentral.